AACGAAUUGCUCUCCCCUCCUCGCUAAAAGAACCAGCCAAGCAACUUUACAGGAAAAGGAAGAACGGAAUAGUUUCAGUUUCAAUUCUUCGUUGCGGAAAGAGCCUCGUUGCAGCAGAGACGCGUCCCCCGUCCGCCACCAUUUAAGUAUUUUUAUCCGGCUGGCUGUAAAGUGUGGCAUCAAAUCCUCAUUGGAUUUUCGUUGAAGCAGAAGCGGAAGCAGAAGAAAUACCCAAAGGAAAUGGCUUCAAAUCCAGACAAUAUUAGAAAUCCUAUAUAUGACACACUUGAAAACAUAAAUGAUGUCUCAGCACUAAAUGAGAAGGAGGAAAACCCGGAUUUGAAUCCAGAUAUGAGCAAUGGAAGAGCACGUGGUGGUAACAGAAAGAAAAGGAGAAAUAGGAAGCCCCAAAGAUCAGCUGCCAAUUGGAAAACUGUGUGCACUGAAAAAGGGAAAGGGGUACGAAGGAAGAAAAUACCUCUUCGGGGUUUCUCAAGACCAAUGCUGGAUGUCAGCUGUAAAGAAACGAAAGGUGUUUUGCAUAAAGAGAAAAUGAAAAAAGGUAUUUAUGAGAAAUGUAUCUUCGCUAAUGAACAAUGGUUCACAUUGUCAGAAUUUGAAGAAUUAGGAGGAUGUAAGAAAGCAAAAAGCUGGAAGAGAAGUAUUCGUUGUGGUAAUGUACCAUUGGAAAUAUUAAUAAAGGUAGGCAGUUCAUUUAUAAUACCUUUAAAUUGCAUCAACAGCAAAGAGUCGUCUACCUCUUUACACUUUAAUAUCGCCUUCUGUACCCCAGCUCUUUUCCCUGCAGGAAUAGCAAGAUUUUAGUUAUAACCUUUGAAAAUUAAGGUUCUGUUACCUCAUAAUAUUUUAAUGCAAUUUCUGUUACUGGACUAAAAUUUGAUAGUCCCAAUGACAGAAAUGACUUGCCAUGUUAUUAUUAAUUCACUGGCUCUGUUCUUGGCAAGCUAGUAGUUGGAUUUAUUCUGAAUAGAAUCAUAGAGUUGAAAGAGACCUCGUGAGCCAUCCAGUCCAACCCCCUGCCAAGAAACAGGAAAAUCGCAUUCAAAGCACCCCCAAUAGAUUGCCAUCCAGCCUCUGCCUAAAAGCCUCCAAAGAGGAAGCAUUCACCACACUCUAGGGCAGAGAGUUCCACUACUGAACAGCUCUCACAGUGAGGAAGUUCUUCCUAAUGUUCAGGUGGAAUCUUCUUUCUUGUAGUUUGAAGCCAUUGUUCCUCGUCCUAGUCCCCAGGGCAGCAGAAAACAAGCUUGUCACGGGAAUAGGAAUGUAAUUUAGCUACAGUAUGUAAUAUAGAAAUUGACAAGUCAUUAUGAUGCAGGUGUACAUCAGUUACUACUUUAAAAGCAAAUUUGAUACCAGAGACAGAAAUACCGGUAACGUACAAGGAAGAGAGGGAGGUUCCUACAGCACCAUAAAAAAGAGUCAUUCAACCUAUUGCAGACAAAUUUAUAAUUGGAAUUCAUCUUAUGUGCAUGUGAAAUUAAUCUGGUCAGGUAAACCCUUCAUAAGUAAACAAAAUCCCUUUGAACCUUUUAAAGGCCAUAUGGCAGCUUCUCAAACAUACCCCAGAAUGGCUUUUUGGUUUAUAAGGAUUUGAUUUCAAUUUUGGUGGCUAAAAUCUGUUUUUUUUUACUCACUGCAUCCUGGAGAACAGCAGGUAAGGUAGGUUUACCUCCUAUUCCUCUUUUUUCCACUGUUUUGCUGUUCAUGUGUUUUCUGUAUGGGAUUCUCAAGACAGCUAUUUUAAAAACUUUUCCUGUUGAUUCAAAUCCUACACUUUCCAAACUUAAGCUUUGUUCACAUCAGAUGUACUGUGGCAAUCUGGCCCUGAAAGCCUUUUUAGCCAGCCCCACCCCCCCCCCCCCCCCCCC
This 1892-nucleotide long non-coding RNA is filed under the name Anolis carolinensis (green anole). RNAcentral's name for it is "lncRNA (ENSACAG00000040753.1)". Lineage: Eukaryota; Metazoa; Chordata; Lepidosauria; Squamata; Anolidae. The record is from RNAcentral.